UAGGGANUCUUCGGCAAUGGGGGCAACCCUGACCGAGCAACGCCGCGUGAGUGAAGAAGGUUUUCGGAUCGUAAAGCUCUGUUGUAAGAGAAGAACGAGUGUGAGAGUGGAAAGUUCACACUGUGACGGUAACUUACCAGAAAGGGACGGCUAACUACGUGCCAGCAGCCGCGGUAAUACGUAGGUCCCGAGCGUUAUCCGGAUUUAUUGGGCGUAAAGCGAGCGCAGGCGGUUAGAUAAGUCUGAAGUUAAAGGCUGUGGCUUAACCAUAGUACGCUUUGGAAACUGUUUAACUUGAGUGCAGAAGGGGAGAGUGGAAUUCCAUGUGUAGCGGUGAAAUGCGUAGAUAUAUGGAGGAACACCGGUGGCGAAAGCGGCUCUCUGGUCUGUAACUGACGCUGAGGCUCGAAAGCGUGGGGAGCAAACAGGAUUAGAUACCCUGGUAGUCCACGCCGUAAACGAUGAGUGCUAGGCGUUGGGUCCUUUCCGGGACUCAGUGCCGCAGCUAACGCAUUAAGCACUCCGCCUGGGGAGUACGACCGCAAGGUUG
Molecule: ribosomal RNA, 550 nt
Filed under: uncultured bacterium
Lineage: Bacteria
Description: bacterial SSU rRNA
Rfam family: Bacterial small subunit ribosomal RNA
Source: RNAcentral